This 117-nucleotide non-coding RNA is filed under the name Chlorocebus sabaeus (green monkey). The record is from Rfam by way of RNAcentral. Lineage: Eukaryota; Metazoa; Chordata; Mammalia; Primates; Cercopithecidae.
GCUGGGCGCAGUGGCUCACGCCUGUAAUCCCAGCACUUUGGGAGGCUGAGGUGGGCGGAUCACCUGAGGUCAGGAGUUCGAGACCAGCCUGACCAACAUGGUGAAACCCCAUCUCUA